ACUGCUCAGUAACACGUGGACAACCUGCCCUUAGGUUGGGUAUAAACCCGGGAAACUGGGUAUAAUACCCGAUAGGUCUCGAUUGCUGGAAUGCAUCGAGAUUUAAAGCUCCGGCGCCUAAGGAUGGGUCUGCGGCCUAUCAGGUAGUAGUGGGUGUAGCGUACCUACUAGCCUACGCCGGGUACGGGUUGUGAGAGCAAGAGCCCGGAGAUGGAUUCUGAGACACGAAUCCAGGCCCUACGGGGUGCAGCAGGCGCGAAAACUUUACAAUGCUGGCAACAGCGAUAAGGGAACCUCGAGUGCCAGGUUACAAAUCUGGCUGUCGAGAUGCCUAAAAAGCAUUUCAUAGCAAGGGCCGGGCAAGACCGGUGCCAGCCGCCGCGGUAACACCGGCGGCUCGAGUGGUAACCGUUAUUAUUGGGUCUAAAGGGUCUGUAGCCGGCCGGAUAAGUCUCUUGAGAAAUCUGGCAGCUUAACUGUCAGGCUUUCAGGAGAUACUGUCUGGCUCGAGGCCGGGAGAGGUGAGAGGUACUUCAGGGGUAGGGGUGAAAUCUUGUAAUCCUUGAAGGACCACCAGUGGCGAAGGCGUCUCACCAGAACGGACCUGACGGCAAGGGACGAAAGCUAGGGGCACGAACCGGAUUAGAUACCCGGGUAGUCCUAGCCGUAAACGAUACUCGCUAGGUGUCGGCCACGGUGCGACCGUUGUCGGUGCCGUAGGGAAGCCGUGAAGCGAGCCACCUGGGAAGUACGGCCGCAAGGCUGAAACUUAAAGGAAUUGGCGGGGGAGCAC
Molecule: ribosomal RNA, 793 nt
Filed under: uncultured archaeon
Lineage: Archaea
Description: bacterial SSU rRNA
Rfam family: Archaeal small subunit ribosomal RNA
Source: RNAcentral